GAGUUUGUAUCUUGGCUCAGAGUGAACGCUGGCGGCGUGCUUAACACAUGCAAGUCGAGCGAUUUUUUGCAGUGUAUCGCAAGAGAUAGCGGCAGACGGGUGAGUAAUAUUUGGGCAAUUUCCCCCUUCAACGGAAAAUAACUAGCCGAAAGGUUAGCUAAUGUUCCAUAAGACCACGGAAUAGCAUCAUUCAGGGGUAAAAGUUCCGCAAGGAGCGUUAAAGGAGAAGCCCAAAUCCCUAUCAUGGUAGUUGGUGAGGUAACGGCUCACCAAGCCUUUGACGGGUAGCCGGCCUGAAAGGGUGAUCGGCCACACUGGCACUGAGACACGGGCCAGACUCCUACGGGAGGCAGCAGUGGGGAAUUUUGGACAAUGGGGGCAACCCUGAUCCAGCGACGCCGCGUGAAGGAUGAAGGUCUUCGGAUCGUAAACUUCUUUUAGAGGGGACGAAUGAGUUGUUGAAUAAACAACAGUGACGGUACCCUUUGAAUAAGCCACGGCUAACUACGUGCCAGCAGCCGCGGUAAC
This 528-nucleotide ribosomal RNA is filed under the name uncultured bacterium. Its description in RNAcentral is "bacterial SSU rRNA". It matches the Rfam family "Bacterial small subunit ribosomal RNA", at positions 9 to 524 of the family's 1533-position model. The record is from RNAcentral.